AGGGCAUCUCGGCCUUUUGGCUAAGAUCAAGUGUAGUAUCUGUUCUUAUCAGUUGAGGUCAGACACCAGCCUCACUGGUGGAAUGAAGAAACACUUGAUCCUCU
This is a small nuclear RNA of Xenopus tropicalis (tropical clawed frog), 104 nucleotides long. Its record names the gene U2. It matches the Rfam family "U2 spliceosomal RNA". From Rfam's summary of the family: U2 is a small nuclear RNA (snRNA) component of the spliceosome (involved in pre-mRNA splicing). Complementary binding between U2 snRNA (in an area lying towards the 5' end but 3' to hairpin I) and the branchpoint sequence (BPS) of the intron results the bulging out of an unpaired adenosine, on the BPS, which initiates a nucleophilic attack at the intronic 5' splice site, thus starting the first of two transesterification reactions that mediate splicing. Lineage: Eukaryota; Metazoa; Chordata; Amphibia; Anura; Pipidae. The record is from Ensembl.